Molecule: unclassified non-coding RNA, 510 nt
Filed under: Hevea brasiliensis (rubber tree)
Lineage: Eukaryota; Viridiplantae; Streptophyta; Magnoliopsida; Malpighiales; Euphorbiaceae
Source: RNAcentral
GUUUUUGAGGUUCUUGCCACAAAUGGAGACACUCAUCUAGGAGGAGAAGAUUUUGACCAGAGGGUUAUGGAGUAUUUCAUUAAAUUGAUAAAGAAGAAGCAUGGUAAGGACAUUAGCAAGGAUAACAAGGCUUUGGGUAAGCUCAGGAGAGAAGCUGAGCGUGCCAAGAGAGCCCUGAGCAGUCAGCAUCAAGUCAGGGUAGAGAUCGAGUCUCUUUUUGAUGGUGUGGAUUUCUCUGAACCACUAACCCGGGCUCGUUUUGAGGAGCUGAACAAUGAUUUGUUCCGUAAGACGAUGACUCCUGUGAAGAAGGCUAUGGAGGAUGCUGGUCUGGCAAAGAACCAGAUUGACGAGAUUGUCUUGGUUGGUGGAAGUACCAGGAUUCCAAAGGUUCAACAGCUUUUGAAAGAUUAUUUUGAUGGCAAGGAGCCUAGCAAAGGUGUCAACCCCGAUGAAGCAGUUGCUUAUGGUGCAGCUGUACAAGGAGGUAUCUUGAGUGGAGAAGGAGGC